AAUCGGCGCUAAUACCUCAUAAUGCAGCGGAUCCGCAUGGAUAUGUUGUUAAAGGUUUACCGCCUUGGGAUAAGGCUUGCGUCUGAUUAGCUAGUUGGUGUGGUAAUGGCACACCAAGGCUACGAUCAGUAACUGGUCUGAGAGGAUGAUCAGUCACACUGGAACUGAGACACGGUCCAGACUCCUACGGGAGGCAGCAGUGAGGAAUAUUGGGCAAUGCACGAAAGUGUGACCCAGCAACGCCGCGUGGAGGAUGAAGGUAUUCUAUAUCGUAAACUCCUGUGAGAGCAGACGAAAGACAGAUUAUUAAUUUGGAUGACUGUAUGCUCAGAGGAAGCCCCGGCUAACUACGUG
This 354-nucleotide ribosomal RNA is filed under the name uncultured bacterium. Its description in RNAcentral is "bacterial SSU rRNA". It matches the Rfam family "Bacterial small subunit ribosomal RNA", at positions 155 to 507 of the family's 1533-position model. The record is from RNAcentral.